Long non-coding RNA from Suricata suricatta (meerkat), 503 nucleotides. RefSeq lists it as uncharacterized. The record is from RefSeq and is a predicted model, not a curated record. Lineage: Eukaryota; Metazoa; Chordata; Mammalia; Carnivora; Herpestidae. The transcript has 2 exons.
GUUUUUCUUUUUUCUCAGUCAGGUGUCUAUUUAUGAGGUGGACAAGCAAGAUUGUCGCAAAUUUUGCACUACUGGCAUCGAUGGAGCCAUGACAAUUUGGGAUUUCAAGACCUUGGAGUCUUCAAUCCAGGGCCUCCGGAUAAUGUGAAGCUGAGUGAGCCUCCCAGAUCCAGCAUGACAAACUGACAAAAGUGACAGAGUGUGCUGAUACGGCCCCACCGUUUGCAUGGUGGUGAGGAGAGCCAGCCGCAAGGAAACACUGAAGACACGCAUCGUGCAAAUGUUUGUGUGGUUUUGUUUGAAUAUAAUUGGUAAAAGUUGGUUUUUUAAAAGCAGCAGUGAUUUGGGUCUUUUGUUUUUUGUUUUUGCUAUUUCAUUCCAUUCUUGACCAAAGCCUCUCUUGAAGUAGUUUAUUUUGGAAAAUUGUCACACUAACUUAAAGGAAAGGGUGCAGAGAUAUGUAAGUUGUCUGCUGAACAGUUAAAUAAAAAUACUGAAUGUGU